Molecule: ribosomal RNA, 427 nt
Filed under: uncultured bacterium
Lineage: Bacteria
Description: partial 16S ribosomal RNA
Rfam family: Bacterial small subunit ribosomal RNA
Source: RNAcentral
UGGGGAAUAUUGCACAAUGGGCGCAAACCUGAUGCAGCCAUGCCGCGUGUGUGAAGAAGGCCUUCGGGUUGUAAAGCACUUUCAGCGAGGAGGAAGGGUAGUGUGUUAAUAGCACAUUGCAUUGACGUUACUCGCAGAAGAAGCACCGGCUAACUCCGUGCCAGCAGCCGCGGUAAUACGGAGGGUGCAAGCGUUAAUCGGAAUUACUGGGCGUAAAGCGCACGCAGGCGGUUUGUUAAGUCAGAUGUGAAAUCCCCGCGCUUAACGUGGGAACUGCAUUUGAAACUGGCAAGCUAGAGUCUUGUAGAGGGGGGUAGAAUUCCAGGUGUAGCGGUGAAAUGCGUAGAGAUCUGGAGGAAUACCGGUGGCGAAGGCGGCCCCCUGGACAAAGACUGACGCUCAGGUGCGAAAGCGUGGGGAGCAAACA